RNAcentral lists this ribosomal RNA (497 nucleotides) under uncultured bacterium. Its description in RNAcentral is "partial 16S ribosomal RNA". It matches the Rfam family "Bacterial small subunit ribosomal RNA", at positions 28 to 507 of the family's 1533-position model. The record is from RNAcentral.
GAUGAACGCUGGCGGCGUGCCUAAUACAUGCAAGUCGAGCGAACAGACGAGGAGGUUGCUCCUCUGAUGUUAGCGGCGGACGGGUGAGUAACACGUGGAUAACCUACCUAUAAGACUGGGAUAACUUCGGGAAACCGGAGCUAAUACCGGAUAACAUGUUAAACCGCAUGGUUCAACAGUGAAAGACGGUCUUGCUGUCACUUAUAGAUGGAUCCGCGCCGCAUUAGCUAGUUGGUAAGGUAACGGCUUACCAAGGCAACGAUGCGUAGCCGACCUGAGAGGGUGAUCGGCCACACUGGAACUGAGACACGGUCCAGACUCCUACGGGAGGCAGCAGUAGGGAAUCUUCCGCAAUGGGCGAAAGCCUGACGGAGCAACGCCGCGUGAGUGAAGAAGGUCUUCGGAUCGUAAAACUCUGUUAUUAGGGAAGAACAAAUGUGUAAGUAACUAUGCACGUCUUGACGGUACCUAAUCAGAAAGCCACGGCUAACUACGUG